UCACCGCGUUGAAGAAGUCGCGCACGAGCGCGU
Molecule: small RNA, 33 nt
Filed under: Bombyx mori (domestic silkworm)
Lineage: Eukaryota; Metazoa; Arthropoda; Insecta; Lepidoptera; Bombycidae
Description: ovarian small RNA-25156
Source: RNAcentral